GUGUUUAGUGAGAAGGACACAGCAGCGCUUGAGACACUCCUUGUCUUCUUGAUGUUUAUGGUCCAGUAAGGAACACAUCGAACAGAGGACAGAGGACAUGGAUUGCUGGGCUGUCCCAUCAAAACUGGAGAACACCCUGCUUCUUCUCUCACCUGGUGGCAGCACCUCAAGGAUCGACCAUGGCUCUUGGCUGGACUUUUCAAGCCAGGGUUUCUCAUAAGGAAUUGGACACCGAGUCCUGGGAGACAAGGAGGAAGACUCAGUGACAUCGUCAGUUGGAACAAGCCUAGGCUUCAUUUGUCAAUGUGCCAGCACUGAGGCCCCGGCUCUGGCAACAGCCCUGCCACCAAAUUUCACUUUAUUGAUAUGGCCCUCGGGAAAAUCUCUGUACCUAUGGUCUCUGGUGCCUGCCCCUGCCCACGCUGCUUCUAUGCAGAUGUUUUCGGGCUCUCACUCCUCCUGGGCCUCCAAGCACUUUGUGAAAUGUCCUUAAUGAAUUCUUACUCGAUUGCUUGUCAAUAUCACCUCCUUUCUACUGAUGAGGAAGCAGGACCCAGAGGGGGAGUUGACUUCUUCUGGGUUACACAUCUGUUUUCCCAGCUGAUGUCAGUGGAGU
Long non-coding RNA from Equus quagga, 616 nucleotides. RefSeq lists it as uncharacterized. The transcript is spliced from 3 exons. Lineage: Eukaryota; Metazoa; Chordata; Mammalia; Perissodactyla; Equidae. The record is from RefSeq and is a predicted model, not a curated record.